UAAAGAUAGAGUCCCAUUCU
This 20-nucleotide transfer RNA is filed under the name Tetranema mexicanum. RNAcentral's name for it is "partial transfer RNA-Leu". The record is from RNAcentral. Lineage: Eukaryota; Viridiplantae; Streptophyta; Magnoliopsida; Lamiales; Plantaginaceae.